This 484-nucleotide ribosomal RNA is filed under the name uncultured bacterium. Its description in RNAcentral is "partial 16S ribosomal RNA". It matches the Rfam family "Bacterial small subunit ribosomal RNA", at positions 28 to 523 of the family's 1533-position model. The record is from RNAcentral.
GACGAACGCUGGCGGCGUGCUUAACACAUGCAAGUCGAACGAUGAAGCUAGAGCUUGCUCUGGUGGAUUAGUGGCGAAUGGGUGAGUAACACGUGAGUAACCUGCCCCGAACUCUGGGAUAACUGCUGGAAACGGUAGCUAAUACUGGAUACGACCUACGAAGGCAUCUUCUGUAGGUGGAAAGAAUUUCGGUUCGGGAUGGACUCGCGGCCUAUCAGCUUGUUGGUGAGGUAAUGGCUCACCAAGGCGACGACGGGUAGCCGGCGUGAGAGGGUGACCGGCCACACUGGGACUGAGACACGGCCCAGACUCCUACGGGAGGCAGCAGUGGGGAAUAUUGCACAAUGGGCGCAAGCCUGAUGCAGCAACGCCGCGUGAGGGAUGACGGCCUUCGGGUUGUAAGCCUCUUUUAGUAGGGAAGAAGCGAAAGUGACGGUACCUGCAGAAAAAGCACCGGCUAACUACGUGCCAGCAGCCGCCGUAA